GACGAACGCUGGCGGCGUGCUUAACACAUGCAAGUCGAACGAUGAAGCUGGAGCUUGCUCCGGUGGAUUAGUGGCGAACGGGUGAGUAACACGUGAGAAAUCUGCCCUUCACUCUGGGAUAACUGCGGGAAACUGUAGCUAAUACCGGAUACUUUCCCUGGUGGGCAUCCACUAGGGAAGAAAGAAUUUCGGUGAAGGAUGAUCUCGCGGCCUAUCAGCUAGUUGGUGAGGUAAUGGCUCACCAAGGCGACGACGGGUAGCCGGCCUGAGAGGGUGACCGGCCACACUGGGACUGAGACACGGCCCAGACUCCUACGGGAGGCAGCAGUGGGGAAUAUUGCACAAUGGGCGAAAGCCUGAUGCAGCAACGCCGCGUGAGGGAUGAAGGCCUUCGGGUUGUAAACCUCUUUUAGCAGGGAAGAAGCGAAAGUGACGGUACCUGCAGGAAAAGCACCGGCUAACUACGUGCCAGCCGCCGCGGUAA
RNAcentral lists this ribosomal RNA (484 nucleotides) under uncultured bacterium. RNAcentral's name for it is "partial 16S ribosomal RNA". It matches the Rfam family "Bacterial small subunit ribosomal RNA", at positions 28 to 523 of the family's 1533-position model. The record is from RNAcentral.